GACGAACGCUGGCGGCGUGCCUAAUACAUGCAAGUUGAGCGAUGAAGAUUGGUGCUUGCACCAAUUUGAAGAGCAGCGAACGGGUGAGUAACGCGUGGGGAAUCUGCCUUUGAGCGGGGGACAACAUUUGGAAACGAAUGCUAAUACCGCAUAACAACUUUAAACAUAAGUUUUAAGUUUGAAAGAUGCAAUUGCAUCACUCAAAGAUGAUCCCGCGUUGUAUUAGCUAGUUGGUGAGGUAAGGCUCACCAAGGCGAUGAUACAUAGCCGACCUGAGAGGGUGAUCGGCCACAUUGGGACUGAGACACGGCCCAAACUCCUACGGGAGGCAGCAGUAGGGAAUCUUCGGAAAUGGACGAAAGUCUGACCGAGCAACGACGAGUGAGUGAAGAAGGUUUUCGGAUCGUAAAACUCUGUUGGUAGAGAAGAACGUUGGUGAGAGUGGAAAGCUCAUCAAGUGACGGUAACUACCCAGAAAGGGACGGCUAACUACGUG
This 496-nucleotide ribosomal RNA is filed under the name uncultured bacterium. Its description in RNAcentral is "partial 16S ribosomal RNA". It matches the Rfam family "Bacterial small subunit ribosomal RNA", at positions 28 to 507 of the family's 1533-position model. The record is from RNAcentral.